RNAcentral lists this transfer RNA (66 nucleotides) under Squatina dumeril (sand devil). RNAcentral's name for it is "tRNA-Cys". It matches the Rfam family "tRNA". Rfam says of the family: Transfer RNA (tRNA) molecules are approximately 80 nucleotides in length. Their secondary structure includes four short double-helical elements and three loops (D, anti-codon, and T loops). Further hydrogen bonds mediate the characteristic L-shaped molecular structure. tRNAs have two regions of fundamental functional importance: the anti-codon, which is responsible for specific mRNA codon recognition, and the 3' end, to which the tRNAs corresponding amino acid is attached (by aminoacyl-tRNA synthetases). tRNAs cope with the degeneracy of the genetic code in two manners: having more than one tRNA (with a specific anti-codon) for a particular amino acid; and 'wobble' base-pairing, i.e. permitting non-standard base-pairing at the 3rd anti-codon position. The record is from RNAcentral. Lineage: Eukaryota; Metazoa; Chordata; Chondrichthyes; Squatinidae.
AGUUCUGAAGUAGAUUUUACGUCGGAUUGCAAAUCCGAAAUUGGAGAUUAAACCCUCCCCGAGCUU